AGGAUGAACGCUGGCGGCGUGCCUAACACAUGCAAGUCGAACGUCCUGUCUCGCAAGAGGCAGGGAGUGGCGGACGGGUGAGUACCACGUGGGUCAUCUACCGUGAGGUGAGGAAUACCGGCGAGAAAUCGCCGACAAGACCGCAUAGGCUCGAUGCAAGUCGAGCAAAGCUCUUUCGAGAGAGGGAGCGCCACACGAGGAGCCUGCGCCCGAUUAGCUAGCUGGUGGAGUAACGGUUCACCAGGGCGACGAUCGGUAGCUGGUCUGAGAGGACGAUCAGCCACACUGGGAUUGAGAACGGCCCAGACUCCUACGGGGGGCAGCAGUGAGGAAUUUUCGUCAAUGGGGGCAACCCUGAACGAGCAACGCCGCGUGCAGGAAGAAGGUUUUCGGAUCGUAAAACUGCUUUUCUCGGGGAAGAGAAACGGACGGUACCCGAGGAAUCAGCCCCGGCUAACUACGUGCCAGCAGCCGC
This 475-nucleotide ribosomal RNA is filed under the name uncultured bacterium. RNAcentral's name for it is "SSU rRNA". It matches the Rfam family "Bacterial small subunit ribosomal RNA", at positions 26 to 518 of the family's 1533-position model. The record is from RNAcentral.